GAUGAACGCUGGCGGCGUGCCUAAUACAUGCAAGUCGAGCGAACAGACGAGGAGCUUGCUCCUCUGACGUUAGCGGCGGACGGGUGAGUAACACGAGGAUAACCUACCUAUAAGACUGGGAUAACUUCGGGAAACCGGAGCUAAUACCGGAUAAUAUAUUGAACCGCAUGGUUCAAUAGUGAAAGACGGUUUUGCUGUCACUUAUAGAUGGAUCCGCGCCGCAUUAGCUAGUUGGUAAGGUAACGGCUUACCAAGGCGACGAUGCGUAGCCGACCUGAGAGGGUGAUCGGCCACACUGGAACUGAGACACGGUCCAGACUCCUACGGGAGGCAGCAGUAGGGAAUCUUCCGCAAUGGGCGAAAGCCUGACGGAGCAACGCCGCGUGAGUGAUGAAGGUCUUCGGAUCGUAAAACUCUGUUAUUAGGGAAGAACAAAUGUGUAAGUAACUAUGCACGUCUUGACGGUACCUAAUCAGAAAGCCACGGCUAACUACGUG
RNAcentral lists this ribosomal RNA (497 nucleotides) under uncultured bacterium. RNAcentral describes it as "partial 16S ribosomal RNA". It matches the Rfam family "Bacterial small subunit ribosomal RNA", at positions 28 to 507 of the family's 1533-position model. The record is from RNAcentral.